GAUGAACGCUGGCGGCGUGCCUAAUACAUGCAAGUCGAGCGAACAGACGAGGAGCUUGCUCCUUUGACGUUAGCGGCGGACGGGUGAGUAACACGUGGGUAACCUACCUAUAAGACUGGGAUAACUUCGGGAAACCGGAGCUAAUACCGGAUAAUAUUUCGAACCGCAUGGUUCGAUAGUGAAAGAUGGCUUUGCUAUCACUUAUAGAUGGACCUGCGCCGUAUUAGCUAGUUGGUAAGGUAACGGCUUACCAAGGAAACGAUACGUAGCCGACCUGAGAGGGUGACCGGCCACACUGGAGCUGAGACACGGUCCAGACUCCUACGGGAGGCAGCAGUAGGGAAGCUUCCGCAAUGGGCGAAAGCCUGACGGAGCAACGCCGCGUGGGUGAUGAAGGUCUUCGGAUCGUAAAACUCUGUUAUUAGGGAAGAACAAACGUGUAAGUAACUGUGCACGUCUUGACGGUACCUAAUCAGAAAGCCACGGCUAACUACGUG
Molecule: ribosomal RNA, 497 nt
Filed under: uncultured bacterium
Lineage: Bacteria
Description: partial 16S ribosomal RNA
Rfam family: Bacterial small subunit ribosomal RNA
Source: RNAcentral